Molecule: ribosomal RNA, 1364 nt
Filed under: Campylobacter jejuni
Lineage: Bacteria; Pseudomonadati; Campylobacterota; Epsilonproteobacteria; Campylobacterales; Campylobacteraceae
Description: bacterial SSU rRNA
Rfam family: Bacterial small subunit ribosomal RNA
Source: RNAcentral
AACAGUUGGAAACGACUGCUAAUACUCUAUACUCCUGCUUAACACAAGUUGAGUAGGGAAAGUUUUUCGGUGUAGGAUGAGACUAUAUAGUAUCAGCUAGUUGGUAAGGUAAUGGCUUACCAAGGCUAUGACGCUUAACUGGUCUGAGAGGAUGAUCAGUCACACUGGAACUGAGACACGGUCCAGACUCCUACGGGAGGCAGCAGUAGGGAAUAUUGCGCAAUGGGGGAAACCCUGACGCAGCAACGCCGCGUGGAGGAUGACACUUUUCGGAGCGUAAACUCCUUUUCUUAGGGAAGAAUUCUGACGGUACCUAAGGAAUAAGCACCGGCUAACUCCGUGCCAGCAGCCGCGGUAAUACGGAGGGUGCAAGCGUUACUCGGAAUCACUGGGCGUAAAGGGCGCGUAGGCGGAUUAUCAAGUCUCUUGUGAAAUCUAAUGGCUUAACCAUUAAACUGCUUGGGAAACUGAUAGUCUAGAGUGAGGGAGAGGCAGAUGGAAUUGGUGGUGUAGGGGUAAAAUCCGUAGAUAUCACCAAGAAUACCCAUUGCGAAGGCGAUCUGCUGGAACUCAACUGACGCUAAGGCGCGAAAGCGUGGGGAGCAAACAGGAUUAGAUACCCUGGUAGUCCACGCCCUAAACGAUGUACACUAGUUGUUGGGGUGCUAGUCAUCUCAGUAAUGCAGCUAACGCAUUAAGUGUACCGCCUGGGGAGUACGGUCGCAAGAUUAAAACUCAAAGGAAUAGACGGGGACCCGCACAAGCGGUGGAGCAUGUGGUUUAAUUCGAAGAUACGCGAAGAACCUUACCUGGGCUUGAUAUCCUAAGAACCUUAUAGAGAUAUGAGGGUGCUAGCUUGCUAGAACUUAGAGACAGGUGCUGCACGGCUGUCGUCAGCUCGUGUCGUGAGAUGUUGGGUUAAGUCCCGCAACGAGCGCAACCCACGUAUUUAGUUGCUAACGGUUCGGCCGAGCACUCUAAAUAGACUGCCUUCGUAAGGAGGAGGAAGGUGUGGACGACGUCAAGUCAUCAUGGCCCUUAUGCCCAGGGCGACACACGUGCUACAAUGGCAUAUACAAUGAGACGCAAUACCGCGAGGUGGAGCAAAUCUAUAAAAUAUGUCCCAGUUCGGAUUGUUCUCUGCAACUCGAGAGCAUGAAGCCGGAAUCGCUAGUAAUCGUAGAUCAGCCAUGCUACGGUGAAUACGUUCCCGGGUCUUGUACUCACCGCCCGUCACACCAUGGGAGUUGAUUUCACUCGAAGCCGGAAUACUAAACUAGUUACCGUCCACAGUGGAAUCAGCGACUGGGGUGAAGUCGUAACAAGGUAACCGUAGGAGAACCUGCGGUUGGAUCACCUCCUUU